GGAGAAACACAUGAGGAUGACGUCAGUGUCCGGGUACGAGAGAGGACGGAGACGAUCGUAAUCUUCUUGUCCUGCCGUGUCCCAUAGUGCCAGCUCCACCUACACACACAGACACGUACAUUAAACUUCUACUCUUCCUCAGCUAUUUCACUUAACCAAUGAGGCUACGCUGAUGUUCUCAGUAAUGCAGAAGACACUGAAGCCAGGCCUGCCGAGGAGGUUCGUUUGUUCUCAAGAUAUUAGCUAAUUGAAGUGGGACAUAGCACACUGCAUAACAUACAUUUAUGCCUGUGGUCUGUUUUACCUGUUUGCUAUCCACCUCGAUGUCAGCCACAUAGUUUUCAAACACGGUGGGCACGUACACCUCGGGGAACUGGUCCUUACUGAAGACGAUGAGGAGGCAAGUCUUGCCACAUGCACCAUCUCCAACAAUCACCAGCUUCUUACGGAUCGCAGCCAUCUCUCUAGAUGAACACAGCAUCCGUGUUAGAAACACCAACCGGAACACACUCGCUGGAUAGAUGAAGAGAGAGCGAGAGAAAUGUUUCACAGCUAAAUCGUGAUCAUGGUUAAUUGCUUUUGGUGAAAAGGUCCAAAAGCCCCUGGGAGGAAAACUUCACUCCCUUGCUGCUGAUUAAUGAGGAGAAUACAGAUGUCUGACAUCAUAACAGAAGGAAAGCUGUGGUUCCUCAAAUGCAGGGCUGAUUAAAGGCUGAAAUACCUUCUUCUUCUUCUUCUUCUUCUACAACACCUGAAGUCUCAACCAAAUGCACAAUAGACCAAUGAACUGAAAUGAAGAAAUUCUUCCUUAUACUUUGCUCAUCUGGGAAGUCGUCAGUCUCAGUGACUUGUAGGGACACAGAGGCAGGAAUGAAUGACUAGGGGCCAUUAUGGAGUAGCUUCUAGAGUGUUUUUGGGAGAUAGAGAAUGUAAUAUUUUGUUGUGUUUAAUCUGUUUAUAUAUUUAUUUAGUGUGAUGUUUCAGUUUAAUGUUGAUAAAUGGACACAACACUUAGGUGUUUUAUUUGGUCACUGAAUUUAUUCUUAUUUAUUUAACGGAGUGACAAAACCGAUCGGGACUCGUCCGCACCUACGCCGUGUCGCUGUGCCGUCGUUAUCUUCAAGGCAUCGUUUAUUUUCUUUAGUUUAAUCAGAUCGUUCAUUACCACGUCCCUACCUUCACUUCUUAUUCACUGUGUACUUUGUGCAAAUUCAGUGCUUCUGACUGCAGUCUCGUUAACGGACCAAUCGGAAGUACAUUAGUUCUUGAUCUCUAGUUUUUCUGCUUCGAUUCUGCAGUAACUCUAAGGAACUGAAUAAGGUUUAGGGUUUACGUUGAUUACAAGCCUGUGUCACUGCCUACUUCUGUGGUAAUGAUGUGAUAGCGGGUGCAUUAUUACUGGUUAAUGCUGUACAUGUCAUAGUGUUUACAUCUGUUUACAAAUGCUCUAAAGAAAAAAGAACUUUUGUAUAAUUUUUACAUUUCUAUCUAUCUAUCUAUCUAUCUAUCUAUCUAUCUAUCUAUCUAUCUAUCUAUCUAUGUCUAACUGUAAUAAAUGGUUGGCUUUUGAUUAAUAAACAGUGAGACUAGUGACAUCCUGAGAGAGACAGAUAGUCCUCUCUCUCUUAUCACAGACAGAAUGACAGAUUUUUUUUUUAAAUACUUUAACUUUUUGAGUUUUGGGUCCUUUUGGCUGUGCAGACAGGCUCCUUAUGUCAAGGGUCAGUAAACAAACUCUUUAGUUUGUAAUUCAUUAUUAUAUUAUAUUACAGAACCACAUUUUGAAAAAAUUAAAUUAAGGAAUGACUGAUGAUGAUGAUGAUGAUGAUGAUGAUGAUGAUGAAGAAGACAACGAGGGCAGGCCCAUGUCUCGUAUUCUUCACACCACUGAAAUCUGAUUGCACAACACACAGACUCCGGUGGAAUGAAGGAUAGGAAGCAUGGAUGAGUGGAUGCACAGUGAGCCUGGGAUUAUACAGCCUUCUGGGGAAAAAUAGAAAAAUAACAUUUAUUUUAUAUAUAAAUACAGAGAGAGAAAGAGAGAGAAUCACGUUUAUACAGACAUUUAUAAUGGAAUGUAGUAGAGACCUGCAUGAGCACCAAGUGUAUGUGUGUGUGUGUGUGUGUGUGGAGGGACAAGGCGAGACGAGACAUGUCACACUCCGGUCGUGUCGCUACAGGCUUCAAUACUCCUGUAGCUGAAAAAAAAAGUGCCGAGGCAGCUGCUUUACACAGAAGAGACUGAAACAGCACACACACUCUCUCAUACACUCACUACAUUCACUCACACACUCUCUCAUACACACUCACACACCGACCUGAAGGUAUUUAUGAAACGCUUUCCUCGUUUUUUAACAGACUUUCAUUCCUCAGCUUCCUCACCUGGUCCAUCAUUUUCACUCCUGCAAACACAAUAAAAGAUUUAAACAAACAAUAAAGAACAACAAGACGAACAAGUCGAUAAACGACGUCUGGAGCAGAAAGCUCGCAAUGGAACGAUUCCUCUGUAACAAAUUACACAAUCUAGAAAAGCAAAAAAGGGGAAGAGGAGACAAGAGGAAGUCUGCAAUCUGUUAGUAAAGAAAGAGAAAGAAAAGGGGGGAAGCAGUACCAGAAGAUGUGUGCAGCUGACGUGAAGCAUGCCGUAUCUCUUUACCUGCCUCAGGUACACACCAUUUAGCUGACUCCGUCCACCAAUCGGAUUGUAACAUUUUCCAUAAACCCCACCCACUUUCCCUCCCUUUUUGAACAGAACACAGGCUCCACACCCUCUCAGGUGUGUGUGUGUGUGCGCGCGCGAGAGGGCGAACGAAGACGCAAGUUGUUGUACCAAGUAAAACAGGUUAAAUGUCAGAUAGUUUAAGGUUCUUUCUGGAAACACACAAAAAUAUUAAAGCUGAAAUUUACAAAGCACCAGAUUAUUAAAAUGUCUGUUCAGGCUGUUCGCUAAUACGCUACUUAGUACUUAAUGUAUGACAUAAGCAUCAGGGAAGCUCUUAUAAACUCUAGCUGUGUGUUGGAGAUAACGUCGUGUUUGUGGAUCGACUUCGCCGUCUGAAAAUCUAAACAAAUAAAGUAAAUAAGAAAUAACGAUCUUCUUGCUAAAGUGGAUUGUGUUUAUAAUAUAGUGUAUAAUAUUUGUAUAAUUAACCAACGAUAAAAGCUCCAAAUGUCUGUGCAUUUCACCAUCACACGUCUUCUGUGUAAUUAUAAACCCCAGAAGAGUUUUAAUCCCAUUUUUUAGUGCAGUGUUGUUGAGACCUAUUCAGUGUCGAGAGUUUUUCAGAUUUAUGCAUGUGUGGAAAAACUUAGGAGGAAGUGUAGCUUAUUGAGCGGCUCUUUAUCUGCUCUCCACCCUUCUCUUUCUCUUUUCUUCACAGACUGGCGGCUGUGAGCUUGUCUCGACUCGUCCGAUCAGGAAUGCGCUCACUUUCUCAGGUGUAGAGCUGAAGAGGUGAAUCAGGUCUUGCCUAAUUUGGGCGAAAAAAGAAAGCCAGCCUGCAAGUUUCAUCAGGUCCCUCUGACGAGCUCCACGAGAGAGCUCCAGGCUUCAGGAGUCACACAGUGCACAGGAGAAGAAAAUAAAAAGGCCUGAUGUGAUGUUCAUGACACUCACAUGGCUUUGUAGUGGACACAGACGCUGACUGUCCACUUUAUUAGGAACCAUUAAUACCACUAAGACCCGUUGCUCUUAGCAGCCUCACGACAUCAUGCCGUGUGUGUGGGAAACAUAUCUGCGGUGUGUUGACACGAUUGCAUCACGUUAUUGCUGCAAGACUGCACUCUACUUCAGCACCUUAUUAGGACAGAUGGAAUGUUUAAAUGUUGUAUUAUUUCAGUUCUCUAGGUGUGUUUAACAGUGACUAAAACUCUAAAGGAACAUUUAUCACACUGCUUUACCACUGUAAUGUUGAUAAUGACAAGAACACGCACGUGUGUGUGUGUGUGAGUGUGUGUGUGUAUGUAAGUGUGUGUGCUCUUGUGAAUGUAUGUGUGUGCAUGUAUGUGUGUGUGUGUGUGUGUGAAUGUAUG
Molecule: long non-coding RNA, 4032 nt
Organism: Tachysurus fulvidraco (yellow catfish)
Lineage: Eukaryota; Metazoa; Chordata; Actinopteri; Siluriformes; Bagridae
Exons: 5
Source: RefSeq, a predicted model, not a curated record